CAGUCGCCGCGGUAAUACAGAGGGUGCGAGCGUUAAUCGGAUUUACUGGGCGUAAAGCGUGCGUAGGCGGUGAGUUAAGUCUGCUGUGAAAUCCCCGGGCUCAACCUGGGAAUGGCAGUGGAUACUGGCUCGCUAGAGUGUGUCAGAGGAUGGUGGAAUUCCCGGUGUAGCGGUGAAAUGCGUAGAGAUCGGGAGGAACAUCAGUGGCGAAGGCGGCCAUCUGGGACAACACUGACGCUGAGGCACGAAAGCGUGGGGAGCAAACAGGAUUAGAUACCCCAGUAGUCCCUGUCUCUUAUAC
This 301-nucleotide ribosomal RNA is filed under the name uncultured bacterium. RNAcentral's name for it is "partial 16S ribosomal RNA". It matches the Rfam family "Bacterial small subunit ribosomal RNA", at positions 509 to 807 of the family's 1533-position model. The record is from RNAcentral.